This 404-nucleotide ribosomal RNA is filed under the name Actinomycetes bacterium. RNAcentral's name for it is "Actinobacteria bacterium partial 16S ribosomal RNA". It matches the Rfam family "Bacterial small subunit ribosomal RNA", at positions 355 to 776 of the family's 1533-position model. Lineage: Bacteria; Bacillati; Actinomycetota; Actinomycetes. The record is from RNAcentral.
UGGGGAAUAUUGGACAAUGGGCGCAAGCCUGAUCCAGCCAUGCCGCGUGAGUGAUGAAGGCCCUAGGGUUGUAAAGCUCUUUCACCGGUGAAGAUAAUGACGGUAACCGGAGAAGAAGCCCCGGCUAACUUCGUGCCAGCAGCCGCGGUAAUACGAAGGGGGCUAGCGUUGUUCGGAUUUACUGGGCGUAAAGCGCACGUAGGCGGACUUUUAAGUCAGGGGUGAAAUCCCGGGGCUCAACCCCGGAACUGCCUUUGAUACUGGAAGUCUUGAGUAUGGUAGAGGUGAGUGGAAUUCCGAGUGUAGGAGUGAAAUUCGUAGAUAUUCGGAGGAACACCAGUGGCGAAGGCGGCUCACUGGACCAUUACUAACGCUGAGGUGCGAAAGCGUGGGGAGCAAACAGG